CCAAUUUGGUGUCAGAUUUCCACCGUUUCCUAAAAAUGCGUCCAAAAAUGCUCUUUUGUUGUUUGUUUCAUCGGAUAAAGGUGCAUAAUGCUUGCUACCGGUUUUCCUUCCAUAUGUUUUAGGCUUUACUUGCUUAGGUUUAUCAUGGGAUGGCGGUACUAAGUUAUUAUAGCGUUCUUUUCUCGAAAUGGAGAGAGCUAUAUGAUAAUCUUCAUGUUCAUUUCUUUCGGAUAAAGUAAUUUUCUGUUCGCAUUCUUCACACGUGUAAGUUUCAUCAGCUGAAUUCUCCGUUGGUUUAGAAACAGCGGUCUGUUGUAGCAUAUCAAAAAUCCCUUUACCUUUACCUCUUUUCAACCUUUUAGGUGACUUUAUAUCUUUUUCCGAAGAUAAUUCAAAAGAAUUAUUUUCCCUCAUAUUUUCGUUCAAUAAUUUAGCGCGUCCCUCAAUAGAAGGUGAAACAGAAGUAGACAUGUAGAUUUCAUCAUUGGACUUUUUUAAAAAACCCUCAAUUCCCCUAGAAUUACGAUCAACCUCUAUGAUGUUUUGAAAGCUAAUAGAUAAGUUUGAAAUCGGAUAUACAUCGAAUUCCUGUUGCAGUUGACGCAACAGUUUGGAUGUUGCUUCAACAAUAAACUGAGUGCUAAUAUCAACAUUCAUAGGUAUUUGACUUGACCUUGACUUUCUCAGAAAUCUUGAUACAACAGUCAAACAAAUGGUCUUGGGCCUUCUCAUUCCUUCAAGUUCAAGGAAUCGUGAUCGAAGAUCAGAUGCGAAUACUUGAAACCAGUUAAUUGCAUCUUCUUCAGACUUCACUUUUUGCUGAGAAAAAUUUUUAGCCGACAACAUUGAUUUAAUCUGAACUUGUGUAGUAAUCUCAGUGUUAUCAAUUCCAUGGCACAAAUUCCAAACGAGUGGACCGUUAGUUUGACCAAGCUUAUCUAUCAAAAAGUCCAUACUCAUAUUCCAAACAUCCUUAAUAGAAUCUGUUCCUAAUAAAUUAAUUAUU
This is a non-coding RNA of Schizosaccharomyces pombe (fission yeast), 1006 nucleotides long. The record is from the annotation of a GenBank genome assembly. NCBI's taxonomy places the organism in Eukaryota, Fungi, Ascomycota, Schizosaccharomycetes, Schizosaccharomycetales, Schizosaccharomycetaceae.